CUGCAGCCAAUUAAGCCGACCAUGCUCUUUUCCCCAUGGGGGCCUGGUGUGCAAUGGCUGCAAACAGCAGCAUCCUUGGUAGUGUACGCAACCUGUUGCUUAGUAUGGGUUGCCUUAAGGGACCUUGGAUACAGAC
Small nucleolar RNA from Myotis lucifugus (little brown bat), 136 nucleotides. Its record names the gene SNORA70. It matches the Rfam family "Small nucleolar RNA SNORA70". Rfam says of the family: snoRNA U70 seems to be exclusive to mammals and is a member of the H/ACA class of snoRNA which contain H (ANANNA) and ACA box motifs. H/ACA box snoRNAs are involved in the conversion of uridines to pseudouridines (5-ribosyluracil) a constituent of structural RNAs (transfer, ribosomal, small nuclear, and small nucleolar). NCBI's taxonomy places the organism in Eukaryota, Metazoa, Chordata, Mammalia, Chiroptera, Vespertilionidae. The record is from Ensembl.